AUUGGAUUUGGAGAUAUGGUUCCUAAAACAUACUUAGGAAUGAUAGUUGGUAGUGUUUGUGCAUUAAUGGGAGUAUUAACAAUUGCUUUGCCUGUUCCUGUUAUAGUGUCAAAC
Non-coding RNA from Parastrongyloides trichosuri, 114 nucleotides. The record is from Rfam. Lineage: Eukaryota; Metazoa; Nematoda; Chromadorea; Rhabditida; Strongyloididae.